AUUGAACGCUGGCGGCAGGCCUAACACAUGCAAGUCGAACGAGUGGCGGACGGGUGAGCAAUGUCUGGGAAACUGCCCGAUGGAGGGGGAUAACUACUGGAAACGGUAGCUAAUACCGCAUACCAUCGGAUGUGCCCAGAUGGGAUUAGCUAGUAGGUGGGGUAACGGCUCACCUAGGCGACGAUCCCUAGCUGGUCUGAGAGGAUGACCAGCCACACUGGAACUGAGACACGGUCCAGACUCCUACGGGAGGCAGCAGUGGGGAAUAUUGCACAAUGGGCGCAAGCCUGAUCCAGCCAUGCCGCGUGUGUGAAGAAGGCCUUCGGGUGGUAAAGUACUUUCAGCGGGGAGGCGUUACUCACAGAAUAAGCACCGGCUAACUACGUGCCAGCAGCCGCGGUAAUAC
RNAcentral lists this ribosomal RNA (406 nucleotides) under uncultured bacterium. RNAcentral's name for it is "partial 16S ribosomal RNA". It matches the Rfam family "Bacterial small subunit ribosomal RNA", at positions 30 to 526 of the family's 1533-position model. The record is from RNAcentral.